RNAcentral lists this ribosomal RNA (410 nucleotides) under uncultured bacterium. Its description in RNAcentral is "bacterial SSU rRNA". It matches the Rfam family "Bacterial small subunit ribosomal RNA", at positions 355 to 776 of the family's 1533-position model. RNAcentral also lists the same sequence under 1 other name. The record is from RNAcentral.
UGGGGAAUAUUGCACAAUGGGCGGAAGCCUGAUGCAGCGACGCCGCGUGGGGGAUGACGGCCUUCGGGUUGUAAACUCCUUUCACCAUCGACGAAGGUUUUCUGACGGUAGAUGGAGAAGAAGCACCGGCUAACUACGUGCCAGCAGCCGCGGUAAUACGUAGGGUGCGAGCGUUGUCCGGAAUUACUGGGCGUAAAGAGCUCGUAGGUGGUUUGUCGCGUCGUCUGUGAAAUUCCGGGGCUUAACUCCGGGCGUGCAGGCGAUACGGGCAUAACUUGAGUACUGUAGGGGAGACUGGAAUUCCUGGUGUAGCGGUGAAAUGCGCAGAUAUCAGGAGGAACACCGGUGGCGAAGGCGGGUCUCUGGGCAGUAACUGACGCUGAGGAGCGAAAGCAUGGGUAGCGAACAGG